UACGAAGGGGGCUAGCGUUGCUCGGAAUUACUGGGCGUAAAGCGUGCGCAGGCGGUUUUGUAAGCCAGAUGUGAAAUCCCCGGGCUCAACCUGGGAAUGGCAUUUGGGACUGCAAGGCUGGAGUGCGGCAGAGGAGACUGGAAUUCCUGGUGUAGCAGUGAAAUGCGUAGAUAUCAGGAGGAAUACCGAUGGCGAAGGCAGGUCUCUGGGCUGACACUGACGCUCAUGCACGAAAGCGUGGGGAGCAAACAGG
This 253-nucleotide ribosomal RNA is filed under the name uncultured bacterium. RNAcentral describes it as "partial 16S ribosomal RNA". It matches the Rfam family "Bacterial small subunit ribosomal RNA", at positions 524 to 776 of the family's 1533-position model. The record is from RNAcentral.